CCUUCGAUAGCUCAGUUGGUAGAGCGGUGGACUGUAGUAAGGUAGCUUAAUGCAAUAUUGAUAUCCAUAGGUCGCUGGUUCAAAUCCGGCUCGAAGGA
Molecule: transfer RNA, 98 nt
Filed under: Drosophila busckii
Lineage: Eukaryota; Metazoa; Arthropoda; Insecta; Diptera; Drosophilidae
Rfam family: tRNA
About the family: Transfer RNA (tRNA) molecules are approximately 80 nucleotides in length. Their secondary structure includes four short double-helical elements and three loops (D, anti-codon, and T loops). Further hydrogen bonds mediate the characteristic L-shaped molecular structure. tRNAs have two regions of fundamental functional importance: the anti-codon, which is responsible for specific mRNA codon recognition, and the 3' end, to which the tRNAs corresponding amino acid is attached (by aminoacyl-tRNA synthetases). tRNAs cope with the degeneracy of the genetic code in two manners: having more than one tRNA (with a specific anti-codon) for a particular amino acid; and 'wobble' base-pairing, i.e. permitting non-standard base-pairing at the 3rd anti-codon position.
Source: Rfam by way of RNAcentral